UUUAUUUAUUCAUGAGAGACACACAGAGAGAGGCAGAGACAUAGGCAGAGAAAGAAGCAGACUCCCUGGAGGACCCCGAUGUGGGACUUGAUCCUUUGACUCCAGGGUUAUGAACUGAGCCAAAGGCAGAUGCUCAAGCACUGAGCCAGCCAGGUGUCCCUCCCUUUUCCACCUUCUAACUUUCUGAAAGCAACAUGCUCCUUUUAUACUGCCAUAUGCUAUUCUGUAGCUAUAGUUCAGUCUUCUGUGCUUUAGCUAUGGAUUUAUUUAUUUUUUUAAAUUUUUAUUUAUUUAUGAUAGUCACAGAGAGAGAGAGAGAGAGAGGGAGAGAGAGAGAGAGAGGCAGAGACAUAGGCAGAGGGAGAAGCAGGCUCCAUGCACCGGGAACCCGACGUGGGAUUCGAUCCCGGGUUUCCAGGAUCGCGCCCUGGGCCAAAGGCAGGCACCAAACCGCUGCGCCACCCAGGGAUCCCUGAAUUUAUUUUAAAUGUAGAAAAUCAAUAAAUAGCAUUUCUCAUGUUAUUAAAAUUAUUAUUGGAUUCAGGACCAAAAAGUGCUUUCCAUUAAGUCCAAUGACACCGUCCAUAGACUCAGGUAAAAGGAGACUGUUUCCAGUAUAAAACUCAAAAGCAGGGCAGCCCCGGUGGUGCAGUGGUUUAGUGCCGCCUGCAGCCGGGGGUGUGAUCCUGGAGACCCCGGAUUGAGUCCCACGUUGGGCUCCCUGCUUGGAGCCUGUUUCUCCAUCUGCCUGUGUCUCUGCCGCUCUCUCAAUCUGUGUCUCUAUGAAUAAAUAAAAUCUUAAAAAAAAACUCAAAAGCAUUUUAUUUUCUUACACUCCAUCAUUUACUCAACAACAUGUAAGAGUUUAGUUUGGAUUUAUGAUAAUCCUGCUCAGUUGUGUUCCUUUAUGUUGUUUUGACCUUCCACACCUCCCAGAGAAAUAAGUAUAUUCCUUACCACCUACUCAAAGAAUUCGGUAUCUUAAUCAUGGUACUCUCAGUUAGAUGUAAUCCACUUUUUUUUCAGCAACUUUCGCAACGCCCUUCAUCUCCUUGUUCCUUUCUUAACCAAUGGCUCCUAACCCUAACUCAUAUUUGUCAUCCACUGGAAUGUCUGGGUUAAAUCUAUCAACCAUUUCCUAGAUCACACAUCUUAUUCUUCCUUUUAUUAUUUCCCCCAUUACUUACUGGAACACAUCCUUAAGUAAAUUCCUCAACGAGGUCCUUUGGAAAUGGAAAAUGUUUUUAUUUUGCCCUAACUCUUAAUUGGUAGUUGAUUGAAUAUAUAAUUCUAGGUCUAAAAUAAUUCACCUUAAGUAAUUAGAAGAAACUUCAUUAUCUUUUCACAUUUGUUAUUGCCAAUUGGAAGUGUGAAAGCAACCUGUGCCUUUUUCCUUUGCAGGUUUUUUUUUGUUUUCUUUCUUCAGACAUUUUUAAAAUCUUCUUUUCAUCCUUAGUGAUUCACCAGGAAUGCACUAAAACUGCAUAUAACAGAAACCUGACUAAAGUGACCAUAUAAUGCUAUUUUUUAAUGUAACAUGAAUUCUAGAGGCUAAAAAGAAAUGGUCCUUCUAGCUUCCUGUCCGGCCACGUCUUGUUGCUGAGGUUCUUGUUCAUUGUCAUAGGAUGGCUGCUACACACUGAGGCAUCAUCUCUACAUUCUAGGCAGAACUGGGUCAUAUGAACACCCCCAUCAGGAAAUUUGUAAAAAGAAUUUUUUUAAUUUUUAAUUAUGCUCACUUCCUUCUUCCUGAGGAACAGGGAAAAAUUAUCAUGGCUUAGGCAACUAGUAUCAAAAGCUCCAUUUGGUGAAA
This 1813-nucleotide long non-coding RNA is filed under the name Canis lupus familiaris (dog). RNAcentral describes it as "lncRNA (ENSCAFG00000054265.1)". Lineage: Eukaryota; Metazoa; Chordata; Mammalia; Carnivora; Canidae. The record is from RNAcentral.